This 85-nucleotide non-coding RNA is filed under the name Psychrobacillus insolitus. The record is from RNAcentral. Lineage: Bacteria; Bacillati; Bacillota; Bacilli; Caryophanales; Bacillaceae.
GAACGCCGUAUGAAGUGAAAGUUUCAUGUACGGUGUGAACGGGGGGAAAAGCUGGCGAUAACUUCAAAAGCUUACCUAUCUGUAU